UACGGAGGGUGCAAGCGUUAUCCGGAUUCACUGGGUUUAAAGGGUGCGUAGGUGGGCAAGUAAGUCAGUGGUGAAAUCUCCGGGCUUAACCCGGAAACUGCCAUUGAUACUAUUUGUCCUGAAUACUGUGGAGGUCAGCGGAAUAUGUCAUGUAGCGGUGAAAUGCUUAGAUAUGACAUAGAACACCAAUUGCGAAGGCAGCUGGCUACACAAAUAUUGACACUGAGGCACGAAAGCGUGGGGAUCAAACAGG
Molecule: ribosomal RNA, 253 nt
Filed under: uncultured bacterium
Lineage: Bacteria
Description: partial 16S ribosomal RNA
Rfam family: Bacterial small subunit ribosomal RNA
Source: RNAcentral